GAUGAACGCUGGCGGCGUGCCUAAUACAUGCCAGUCGAGCGAACAGACGAGGAGCUUGCUCCUCUGACGUUAGCGGCGGACGGGCGAGUAACACGUGGAUAACCUACCUAUAAGACUGGGAUAACUUCGGGAAACCGGAGCUAAUACCGGAUAAUAUAUUGAACCGCAUGGUUCAAUAGUGAAAGACGGUUUUGCUGUCACUUAUAGAUGGAUCCGCGCCGCAUUAGCUAGUUGGUAAGGUAACGGCUUACCAAGGCAACGAUGCGUAGCCGACCUGAGAGGGUGAUCGGCCACACUGGAACUGAGACACGGUCCAGACUCCUACGGGAGGCAGCAGUAGGGAAUCUUCCGCAAUGGGCGAAAGCUUGACGGAGCAACGCCGCGUGAGUGAUGAAGGUCUUCGGAUCGUAAAACUCUGUUAUUAGGGAAGAACAAAUGUGUAAGUAACUAUGCACGUCUUGACGGUACCUAAUCAGAAAGCCACGGCUAACUACGUG
This 497-nucleotide ribosomal RNA is filed under the name uncultured bacterium. Its description in RNAcentral is "partial 16S ribosomal RNA". It matches the Rfam family "Bacterial small subunit ribosomal RNA", at positions 28 to 507 of the family's 1533-position model. The record is from RNAcentral.